This 76-nucleotide transfer RNA is filed under the name Nitrospirota bacterium. RNAcentral describes it as "Nitrospirae bacterium (groundwater metagenome) tRNA-Val". It matches the Rfam family "tRNA". Rfam says of the family: Transfer RNA (tRNA) molecules are approximately 80 nucleotides in length. Their secondary structure includes four short double-helical elements and three loops (D, anti-codon, and T loops). Further hydrogen bonds mediate the characteristic L-shaped molecular structure. tRNAs have two regions of fundamental functional importance: the anti-codon, which is responsible for specific mRNA codon recognition, and the 3' end, to which the tRNAs corresponding amino acid is attached (by aminoacyl-tRNA synthetases). tRNAs cope with the degeneracy of the genetic code in two manners: having more than one tRNA (with a specific anti-codon) for a particular amino acid; and 'wobble' base-pairing, i.e. permitting non-standard base-pairing at the 3rd anti-codon position. Lineage: Bacteria; Pseudomonadati; Nitrospirota. The record is from RNAcentral. RNAcentral also lists the same sequence under 1 other name.
GGGCGGAUAGCUCAGUUGGCAGAGCAUCCCGCUUACACCGGGAAGGUCAGGCGUUCAAGUCGCCUUCCGCCUACCA